This 467-nucleotide ribosomal RNA is filed under the name uncultured bacterium. RNAcentral's name for it is "partial 16S ribosomal RNA". It matches the Rfam family "Bacterial small subunit ribosomal RNA", at positions 28 to 507 of the family's 1533-position model. The record is from RNAcentral.
GACGAACGCUGGCGGCGUGCUUAACACAUGCAAGUCGAACGGAAAGGCCCUGCUUUUGUGGGGUGCUCGAGUGCGAACGGGUGAGUAACACGUGAGUAACCUGCCCUUCACUUUGGGAUAACUUCAGGAAACUGGGGCUAAUACCGGAUAGGAGCUCCUGCUGCAUGGUGGGGGUUGGAAAGUUUCGGCGGUUGGGGAUGGACUCGCGGCUUAUCAGCUUGUUGGUGGGGUAGUGGCUUACCAAGGCUUUGACGGGUAGCCGGCCUGAGAGGGUGACCGGCCACAUUGGGACUGAGAUACGGCCCAGACUCCUACGGGAGGCAGCAGUGGGGAAUAUUGCACAAUGGGCGGAAGCCUGAUGCAGCAACGCCGCGUGCGGGAUGACGGCCUUCGGGUUGUAAACCGCUUUCGCCUGUGACGAAGCGUGAGUGACGGUAAUGGGUAAAGAAGCACCGGCUAACUACGUG